ACACUCCUACGGGAGGCAGCAGUGGGGAAUAUUGCACAAUGGGCGCAAGCCUGAUGCAGCCAUGCCGCGUGUAUGAAGAAGGCCUUCGGGUUGUAAAGUACUUUCAGCGGGGAGGAAGGCGAUAAGGUUAAUAACCUUGUCGAUUGACGUUACCCGCAGAAGAAGCACCGGCUAACUCCGUGCCAGCAGCCGCGGUAAUACGGAGGGUGCAAGCGUUAAUCGGAAUUACUGGGCGUAAAGCGCACGCAGGCGGUCUGUCAAGUCGGAUGUGAAAUCCCCGGGCUCAACCUGGGAACUGCAUGCGAAACUGGCAGGCUAGAGUCUUGUAGAGGGGGGUAGAAUUCCAGGUGUAGCGGUGAAAUGCGUAGAGAUCUGGAGGAAUACCGGUGGCGAAGGCGGCCCCCUGGACAAAGACUGACGCUCAGGUGCGAAAGCGUGGGGAGCAAACAGGAUUAGAAACCCCAGUAGUCCCAUGA
This 476-nucleotide ribosomal RNA is filed under the name uncultured organism. Its description in RNAcentral is "partial 16S ribosomal RNA". It matches the Rfam family "Bacterial small subunit ribosomal RNA", at positions 333 to 800 of the family's 1533-position model. The record is from RNAcentral.